UGGCCCGGUGGACAGGGAGAAACAGCCGAUCUUCCCUGCAGGUGGACUGGCACGAGGAGGAGUGGGAGAAAGUGUGGCUGAACGUGGACAAGAGCCUAGAGUGCAUCAUUCAGCGUGUGGACAAGCUGCUGCAGAAGGAGCGGCUGCAUGGCGAGGGCUGUGAGGAUGUCUUCCCCUGUGCAGGCAGCUGCACCAGCAAGAAAGGUAACCCGGACAGCCACGCCUACUGGAUCAGACCAGAAGACCCCUUCUGUGAUGUCCCCUCCUCACCAUGCCCCUCCACCAUGCCCUCCGCUGCAUGCCAUCCUCAUCUGACCACACGUGCGUAUGCAUCCAUGCUUCCCAUGUGCUGCCUCCACUUCACCUUGUGCUGCUUCCGUUUAUCUGUGUCUCUGACUCCAUGCCCUCCUCCCCCACGCAGACUGCAGGGAGGGCUGCCAGGUGGAGCGGGGGCGUCCCAGUGCAUGGAGCAGCAGGCAGUGAGAGCGGAGUCUCCGGUUGCCUUUCCAUGUAACUGGAGCCCAUGUGUGAUUCUGCAUCUCUGCCAGUCAGAAUCUCAGGGUCCUCUUGGGAUACACCACCAUGGCUGUAAGGGUUGGGCUCCUGGGCUUUUCAGGUUUGUAAAGCAAUCUGAG
This 635-nucleotide small RNA is filed under the name Pongo abelii (Sumatran orangutan). Its description in RNAcentral is "retained intron". The record is from RNAcentral. Lineage: Eukaryota; Metazoa; Chordata; Mammalia; Primates; Hominidae.